Molecule: ribosomal RNA, 534 nt
Filed under: uncultured bacterium
Lineage: Bacteria
Description: partial 16S ribosomal RNA
Rfam family: Bacterial small subunit ribosomal RNA
Source: RNAcentral
UGGGGAAUAUUGCACAAUGGGCGAAAGCCUGAUGCAGCGACGCCGCGUGCGGGAUGAAGGCCUUCGGGUUGUAAACCGCUUUUAAUUGGGAGCAAGCGAGAGUGAGUGUACCUUUUGAAUAAGCACCGGCUAACUACGUGCCAGCAGCCGCGGUAAUACGUAGGGUGCAAGCGUUAUCCGGAAUUAUUGGGCGUAAAGAGCUCGUAGGCGGUUUGUCACGCCUGGUGUGAAAGUCCAUCGCUUAACGGUGGAUCUGCGCCGGGUACGGGCAGGCUAGAGUGCAGUAGGGGAGAUUGGAAUUCCCGGUGUAACGGUGGAAUGUGUAGAUAUCGGGAAGAACACCAAUGGCGAAGGCAGAUCUCUGGGCUGUUACUGACGCUGAGGAGCGAAAGCAUGGGGAGCGAACAGGAUUAGAUACCCUGGUAGUCCAUGCCGUAAACGGUGGAUGCUGGAUGUGGGACCCUUCCACGGGCUCCGUGUCGGAGCUAACGCGUUAAGCAUCCCGCCUGGGGAGUACGGCCGCAAGGCUAAAAC